AUUGAACGCUGGCGGCAGGCCUAACACAUGCAAGUCGAGCGGCAGCGGGGGAAAGCUUGCUUUCCCGCCGGCGAGCGGCGGACGGGCGAGUAAUGUCUGGGAAACUGCCUGAUGGAGGGGGAUAACUACCGGAAACGGUAGCUAAUACCGACUAACGUCUUCGGACCAAAGUGGGGGACCUUCGGUCCUCAUGCCAUCAGAUGUGCCCCGAUGGGAUUAGCUGGUAGGUGUGGUAACGGCUCACCUAGGCGACGAUCCCUAGCUGGUCUGAGAGGAUGACCAGCCACACUGGAGCUGAGACACGGUCCAGACUCCUACGGGAGGCAGCAGUGGGGAAUAUUGCACAAUGGGCGCAACCUGAUGCAGCCAUGCCGCGUGUAUGAAGAAGGCCUUCGGGUUGUAAAGUACUUUCAGCGGGGAGGAAGGUGUUGUGGUUAAUAACCAGAGCAAUUGACGUUACCCGCAGAAGAAGCACCGGCUAACUCCGUGCCAGCCGCCGCGGUAA
RNAcentral lists this ribosomal RNA (505 nucleotides) under uncultured bacterium. RNAcentral's name for it is "partial 16S ribosomal RNA". It matches the Rfam family "Bacterial small subunit ribosomal RNA", at positions 30 to 523 of the family's 1533-position model. The record is from RNAcentral.